AUUGAAGGCUGGCGGCAUGCCUUACACAUGCAAGUCGAACGGCAGCGCGGGAGCAAUCCUGGCGGCGAGUGGCGAACGGGUGAGUAAUAUAUCGGAACGUGCCCAGUAGUGGGGGAUAGCCCGGCGAAAGCCGGAUUAAUACCGCAUACGACCUGAGGGUGAAAGGGGGGGAUCGCAAGACCUAUCGCUAUUGGAGCGGCCGAUAUCAGAUUAGGUAGUUGGUGGGGUAAGGGCCUACCAAGCCUGCGAUCUGUAGUUGGUCUGAGAGGACGCCCAGCCACACUGGGACUUGGACACGACACAGACUCCUGCGGGAGGCAGCAGUGGGGAAUUUUGGACAAUGGGCGCAAGCCUGAUCCAGCAAUGCCGCGUGCAGGAAGAAGGCCUUCGGGUUGUCAACUGCUUUUGUCAGGGAAGAAAUCCUCUAGGCUAAUACCUUGGGGGGAUGACGGUACCUGAAGAAUAAGCACCGGCUAACUACGUGCCAGCAGCCGCCGUAA
RNAcentral lists this ribosomal RNA (500 nucleotides) under uncultured bacterium. Its description in RNAcentral is "partial 16S ribosomal RNA". It matches the Rfam family "Bacterial small subunit ribosomal RNA", at positions 29 to 523 of the family's 1533-position model. The record is from RNAcentral.